RNAcentral lists this ribosomal RNA (468 nucleotides) under uncultured bacterium. RNAcentral describes it as "partial 16S ribosomal RNA". It matches the Rfam family "Bacterial small subunit ribosomal RNA", at positions 28 to 507 of the family's 1533-position model. The record is from RNAcentral.
GACGAACGCUGGCGGCGUGCUUAACACAUGCAAGUCGAACGGAAAGGCCCUGCUUUUGUGGGGUGCUCGAGUGGCGAACGGGUGAGUAACACGUGAGUAACCUGCCCUUGACUUUGGGAUAACUUCAGGAAACUGGGGCUAAUACCGGAUAGGAGCUCCUGCUGCAUGGUGGGGGUUGGAAAGUUUCGGCGGUUGGGGAUGGACUCGCGGGUUAUCAGCUUGUUGGUGGGGUAGUGGCUUACCAAGGCUUUGACGGGUAGCCGGCCUGAGAGGUUGGCCGGCCACAGUGGGACUAAGAGACGGCCCAGACUCCUACGGGAGGCAGCGGUGGGGAAUAUUGCACAAUGGGCGGAAGCCUGAUGCAGCAACGCCGCGUGCGGGAUGACGGCCUUCGGGUUGUAAACCGCUUUCGCCUGUGACGAAGCGUGAGUGACGGUAAUGGGUAAAGAAGCACCGGCUAACUACGUG